This is an RNA transcript of Mangifera indica (mango), 1733 nucleotides long. RefSeq lists it as uncharacterized. NCBI's taxonomy places the organism in Eukaryota, Viridiplantae, Streptophyta, Magnoliopsida, Sapindales, Anacardiaceae. The record is from RefSeq and is a predicted model, not a curated record. The transcript is spliced from 6 exons.
CCCAGGAGACCCAGUGCAAACGGCUUCGUCAAAACUAUAAUUUUAUAAAAAAAAUUGAUGAAACUUUGCAGCAUCAGCAUGUAAUUCUGGUACGUGUCAAGCGCAACAAUGCUCUGGCUGCCACCUCUCCUCGUUUCAACCUUUUCUUCUGAUUCUCUCAAAUCAAAUCUCUGUUACCAGUGCACUGCUCACUUCAGAUACAGUUGCCUUUAUUCUAAAUUCUCUUUUAUGCAGGAUGCCAGUGAUUAAAUGUGUAUUUUUGAACACAUGAUCGAGGGAGAAAGAAGAAGUUUCAUUGGUGGAGAAUGGUGUAUCUGAUGUCUUUGUUUGAAGAGUUGAUGGAUAUGAUAAUGAUCUUGUUAUUGAAACCCUUUUGCCUUUGCAAGCCAGCAAUUAUGUUUUGUCUAAAAUCCACUUUUUUCGUUAUUCAUUGCUGGAUGGAUCUGGUCAAUGCCACUAUCAGCUUUAAUGUGAAUUUGAUUUGCAGAACAAUGUCUUGGACAGUUGCUCUUGUAACUCUUCCUCUUCGAGUUUUUACUGCUUUGCAGAGGGAGAGACUGCUGGAACAGCAAAUGAAUGAAAUGCAGGUAGAGUUGGAGACCCUUGUCUGGGAUAGGAAGGAACUUGAAGUUCAUCUUCAAAAUGCCAUUAAAGAAGGCAAAAUUAUGGAGUCCAUGCUAGCUGAACUUGAAGAUGAAAAUGACAACACUAUGGCAAAAAUUGAAUUGUUAGAAGGCGAGUUGCAGUGUCUCAAGGAUGAAACUCUUCAGCUGAAGGAAAUUUGCGGUAAAGAAUGGUGGAGUUUUAAAGUUAAUAACAAAGACAAUGGACAAAUAGUUGGCGGUACUGCUGACAACCUUGCCAUUUCCUAUGGGUUCUCAUCGUGGAAAUCCAAUUUUACGGGGACUGACUUCUUCUUCCGAGACGUGAUGACGCACAAAGACGCUUGGGCCAGUGAAAGCAAGAGUGAUGCUGAAUUUCUCGAUAUCUUAAAGACUGGAAUUGCAGCAAACAGUGGAUCCAUCCACCCCUACAUCCCAGGUGUUAUCCCAAGAAAUAUAGAAAUGAGCAAAGUGCUUGACCAGAGAAGGGGAGUUGCACUUUCACAGUCUCUUUUUAGUGCGGUGUUAUCGCUUUUGGUUGGAAUGAUUAUCUGGGAAGCUGAAGACCCUUGCAUGCCACUUGUGGUGGCUCUUUUCACAGUAGUUGGCAUGUCACUGAAAAGUGUGGUUCAGUUUUUCUCCACCAUAAAGAACAAACCUGCUUCUGAUGCUGUUGCUUUAUUAAGCUUCAACUGGUUUAUACUUGGCACACUUACAUACCCAACACUGCCAAAGGUUGCCCGUGUGUUGUCUCCCCUCGCCUUCAGGUUUUAUAUGUGGACAGGGAUUUGAUGCAAUUUGCGUAGUGCAUUAAUAUUAAGAAGAAGAACUAGCAAUUUGUGAAAGAACUCCGGCGCGUAAAGAGCUUCAACAUUUUCUUUAUCCUGCCUUUGUAUAUCUACAUCAACACUACCUUCUUUGGUUGGCAUGUGGUGGCUAGGCUUUAUGUUGCAGUACUUUGGGGCUCUAUUUGACCAGAUUCUUUUUAAAUCUGUCAACUCAUAUCAUUGAAUAUUUGAUUAGGUUACGUGAACACUAAUAUUAUUGUCAAAUUGAAUUCAAACUUCAGUAAUGUAGAACAAAGAAUGGAUGUCCCCAGAUAUUGAUGGUGAUUUGAAUUCUUUAAGUCUA